AGUCGAGAAUCUUCGGCAAUGGGCGAAAGCCUGACCGAGCGACGCCGCGUGCGGGAUGAAGGCCCUCGGGUUGUAAACCGCUGUCAGUAGGGAGCAAAUUUCUUGGGGUUAUCCCCUUGAAUUGAGCGAUCUUCAGAGGAAGUACGGGCUAAGUUCGUGCCAGCAGCCGCGGUAAGACGAACCGUACGAACGUUAUUCGGAAUCACUGGGCUUAAAGAGUUCGUAGGCGGCCGUGUAGGUGGGAUGUGAAAGCCCUCGUCUCAACCGAGGAAUUGCGUUCCAAACCACAUGGCUCGAGGAAGAUAGAGGUGAGCGGAACUGAUGGUGGAGCGGUGAAAUGCGUUGAUAUCAUCAGGAACACCAGAGGCGAAGGCGGCUCACUGGGUCUUUUCUGACGCUGAGGAACGAAAGCUAGGGGAGCAAA
Molecule: ribosomal RNA, 424 nt
Filed under: uncultured Pirellula sp.
Lineage: Bacteria; Pseudomonadati; Planctomycetota; Planctomycetia; Pirellulales; Pirellulaceae
Description: bacterial SSU rRNA
Rfam family: Bacterial small subunit ribosomal RNA
Source: RNAcentral